GGCUCAGAACGAACGCUGGCGGCAGGCUUAACACAUGCAAGUCGAGCGCCCGCAAGGGAGCGGCAGACGGGUGAGUAACGCGUGGGAAUCUACCUAUCACUACGGAACAACUCCGGGAAACUGGAGCUAAUACCGUAUACGUCGAGAGGAGAAAGAUUUAUCGGUGAUAGAUGAGCCCGCGUUGGAUUAGCUAGUUGGUGGGGUAAUGGCCUACCAAGGCGACGAUCCAUAGCUGGUCUGAGAGGAUGAUCAGCCACACUGGGACUGAGACACGGCCCAGACUCCUACGGGAGGCAGCAGUGGGGAAUAUUGGACAAUGGGCGAAAGCCUGAUCCAGCCAUGCCGCGUGAGUGAUGAAGGCCUUAGGGUUGUAAAGCUCUUUCACCGGUGAAGAUAAUGACGGUAACCGGAGAAGAAGCCCCGGCUAACUUCGUG
This 435-nucleotide ribosomal RNA is filed under the name uncultured bacterium. Its description in RNAcentral is "bacterial SSU rRNA". It matches the Rfam family "Bacterial small subunit ribosomal RNA", at positions 21 to 507 of the family's 1533-position model. The record is from RNAcentral.